This 484-nucleotide ribosomal RNA is filed under the name uncultured bacterium. RNAcentral's name for it is "partial 16S ribosomal RNA". It matches the Rfam family "Bacterial small subunit ribosomal RNA", at positions 28 to 507 of the family's 1533-position model. The record is from RNAcentral.
GACGAACGCUGGCGGCGUGCUUAACACAUGCAAGUCGAACGGUAAGGCCCCUUCGUUGGUACACUAGUGGCGGACGGGUGAGUAACACGUGGGUGAUCUUCCCUUCCCUUCGGGAUAAGCCUGGGAAACUGGGUCUAAUACCGGAUAGGGCCACGCUCUUCAUGGAGUGUGGUGGAAAGCUUUUGCGGUGUGUGCUGUGCCCGCGGUCUAUCAGCUUGUUGGUUUGGUAAUUGCCUACCAAGGCGACGGCGCGUAGCCGACAUGAGAGGGUGUCCGGCCACACUGGAACUGAGACACGGGCCAGAGUACGACGGGAGGCAGCAGUAGGGAAGCUGCCGCAAGGGGCGAAAGCCGGACGGAGCAACGCCGCGUGAGUGAUGAAGGUCUGCGGAUCGUAAAACUCUGUUAGGAGGGAAGAAAAUAUGUGUAAGUAACUGUGCACAUCUUGACGGUACCGAAUCAGAAAGCCGCGGCUAACUACGUG